This 301-nucleotide ribosomal RNA is filed under the name uncultured bacterium. RNAcentral describes it as "partial 16S ribosomal RNA". It matches the Rfam family "Bacterial small subunit ribosomal RNA", at positions 509 to 807 of the family's 1533-position model. The record is from RNAcentral.
CAGUCGCCGCGGUAAUACAGAGGGUGCGAGCGUUAAUCGGAUUUACUGGGCGUAAAGCGUGCGUAGGCGGCUUCUUAAGUCGGAUGUGAAAUCCCCGAGCUUAACUUAGGAAUUGCAUUCGAUACUGGGAAGCUAGAGUAUGGGAGAGGAUGGUAGAAUUCCAGGUGUAGCGGUGAAAUGCGUAGAGAUCUGGAGGAAUACCGAUGGCGAAGGCAGCCAUCUGGCCUAAUACUGACGCUGAGGUACGAAAGCAUGGGGAGCAAACAGGAUUAGAUACCCGGGUAGUCCCUGUCUCUUAUAC